CGGCCAUAUCAGUUCUCGUACGACCACCGAAGUUAAGAAACGUAGAACUUGGUCAGUAUCUAGAUGGGUGGCCUCUUGGGAAUACCAGGUCCUGCAAG
Molecule: non-coding RNA, 98 nt
Organism: Acanthosepion pharaonis
Lineage: Eukaryota; Metazoa; Mollusca; Cephalopoda; Sepiida; Sepiidae
Source: the annotation of a GenBank genome assembly